Vitis vinifera (wine grape) is the source of this 1645-nucleotide long non-coding RNA. RefSeq lists it as uncharacterized. The transcript has 3 exons. The record is from RefSeq and is a predicted model, not a curated record. NCBI's taxonomy places the organism in Eukaryota, Viridiplantae, Streptophyta, Magnoliopsida, Vitales, Vitaceae.
UUUAGUUCACUGAAACGCCGGGCCAGGUAACGUGGGCUUGUGACUCAAGUGAGGGCAUGACUGUGGUUGAAGAUUGGCUUGGUUGGAGAGGUAGGGUUCGCUGGGUUUUGAGAUUCUGGCUUGCCCGUUCCAAGUGGGGAGUUUGAACCUUGUGUCCCAACCGAAGGGUUGGGGAACGUGGUUCCUAGAGUGGAGGGCACCGCGUGAGGCUGGGCUCACAGAGCAGCGUUCACCUCCCGCUCCCCUCGGUGGAAGGACAACGAGCCGGUACUCCACGGGCCCAACGAUACCUCCUCAGCCGCUCUCAACCCGACAACCACUUUUUACCUCUUUUGUUUUUCUUCAUUCCAGCCAGUGGGUCAUGGGUAAAUGGGGGCCAAAAUCAGUGACUGGGUUUAGUUUCUGAAAAUAGUUGGUGAGCCAUUUGAUUUGCACCCAGAAUAUCCUAUAGAUUUUUUGGAUAUAUUCAUCAAUGUCAUGACACCUUCUUCAGAUUAAAAUUGCAUGUAAAUUUACCAGUCCAUUCGACUUCUGUGGGGCAUGCAAAUGCCCUGUUAAUUCCAUGGAACUCUUCUCAGUAACAAGAGAUAAUUCUAGUCCACUUCAUGCCUACCAACUCUUGUUCAUCUACUCUUCAUUCAUUCAUGCAACUAAUGAGUUGAAGAAAUUUUUUUGUGGGGUUUGAAGUGCAUCCAGAGAAGCUUUGUCAGAUCAAAAUAAGGAAUUGCAGGAAGCAAACCUCUUGGAACAUGUUAUUCCUACAAAGAUGGAUUUUUCUCAGGUUUCAUGUGCAUGAGUUCCCCUCUUGCUUAAUCUUUGAUGGUGAGAUUGGAUCUCAAAGUGCAUUUCAAAGUGUGGGAAUAUUUGAAUUUAAAAUGUUUGUUUGGAAUGUGCUGAUAGAUUGAAGGGGUUAUUUGGAAUCCACAAGGGAACAAAAUCAUCCUUUAUACUUGGACCCUUCUAGGUUUUGAAGAUGAAUCAACUUUCUGCCAUCCUUCUGGUGGCCCAACUUCUAUUAUGAUUCCUGUUUUGUUGCGUUUGGAUUUGAGGCUUUAAAUGUUAUCAAAAGCAAAGUGACCAUUUGGCUUGUAUCCCUAAGUUUCUAACUAAGUUGGGGAUGUGGCAGUUCUCUUGCUGAUUCAUCUUCUGGGGCCUGUCAAUGUGUAAAGGGAUGUUUGGUAAGGUCUUUUCUGGAGCAUGAAGAAGCAGCUACAGAUGUCCUGACGGAAGCUUACACCCUUGUACCCUUGGGAAGCAAAUGUUCUCUAUCAGAUGUCAGAAGGGGAAGAGAUGGACGGCGCACGAUGACAGAGUAGGGGUUUGAAUUAAAAAAAUGUAUGAAUGAGAGGGAGAGAGCACUCCCUUUCACUAGGAAUUGUCAUCAAUAUUUCAAUCAUAUAUAGGCAAGUAGUCCCCAAAAGGCAUAUUUAUAUAUACUAUACUUUAUUUUUUUCUUUGGAGUAAUCAAUUUGGCGAGUGGUACACCAUGCUGCCUCUUUGGAGGCAAGGUGGAAAGCUUCCAAGUCCUGCCAAACCAAAAGUUAACAAUUACAAAGUUGAUCAUUUUAACCAUUAUUUUUUCUAGUGUACCUUUAGCAGGGGAAUAAAAAUUGGUCAAAAUAAAGGGAAAUAUGCAAAGAAAGAG